This is a long non-coding RNA of Sapajus apella (tufted capuchin), 352 nucleotides long. RefSeq lists it as uncharacterized. The transcript is spliced from 3 exons. NCBI's taxonomy places the organism in Eukaryota, Metazoa, Chordata, Mammalia, Primates, Cebidae. The record is from RefSeq and is a predicted model, not a curated record.
AAAUAAAACAAAUUUACACAAAAAACAACCAGCCUCAUUAAAAAGUGGGCAAAGGACAGGAGGAGACACUUUACAAGAGAAGACAUAUAUGUACAUGGACAACAAACAUAUGAAAAAUUGCUCAAUAUUAUUAAUCAUUAGAGAAAUGCAAAUCAAUGCCAUAACGAGAUACCAUCUCAUACUAGUCAGAAUGACUAUGAUUAAAAAGUCAAAAAAUAACAGAUGCUCGUGAGGUUGUGGAAGAAGGGAGCUCUUAUACACUGCUUGUGGGAAUGUCAAUUAGUUUAGCCAUUGUGGAAAGCAGUAUGGCAAUUUCUCAAAAAAUUUAAAACAGAAUUACCAUUUGACCCAG